This is a long non-coding RNA of Bactrocera oleae (olive fruit fly), 1163 nucleotides long. RefSeq lists it as uncharacterized. The record is from RefSeq and is a predicted model, not a curated record. NCBI's taxonomy places the organism in Eukaryota, Metazoa, Arthropoda, Insecta, Diptera, Tephritidae.
UUACAAGAAUUUUCCAAAAGUUAUGCACAUCAAAUUUAAUAUUUUAUGGAUUUGGUAUAGAUAUUUAUUAUUAUUCAGCAUAUUUAUUCUGUUGUAAUAAACAUAGUCGAAUAAUUAAGAAGCGACUGCAAUAUUUUACUCUAAAAAUGAUACGACAAAAAAAAAUUGUGUAGCAACCACAGCUGGAAGUCGUGGUGAAUUGCAACCGGCAGUCUUGCAGAUAAAUUGGCCCCACUUGAAUUUCCAUUUUCAACAGAAGGGAAGUGGCAUAGAGAGAAUGACCCACAACUGGAAAAACACUCAACUUCAAGUUAACAACAAAUUUUUGGCACAUUUAUUGACAUUAAUGAAUAUAUUUUUAUUUACACUUCAUAUCAUUCACAUUUAUAAAACUCAAAUAAUAACUUCCAUUUAACUAUGAGAGUCCACUCAAAUUUAUUUCACGAACUACGCCAAGGAUGACACAAGAGAUGAAUAUAUCCCUGGAUAACACUGCCAAGCAAACAAUUUCAAACUGAAUAUCAGAGAUAUUAUCCCUGCUGAAUAUCCAUUAUACUUUUGCUUAUUUGCUCAAAAGGUAGAAUGUCAUAAUCUCUCUGCACAUGUGUCAGAGGCGUUGCCAUUUUGAUCCGAUCGGAACGAAAUUGGUAGUUUCAUUUGUCUGUGGUGUUUGGUUGGCAGAAGGUAUGACAGAGAAUGUAAAAUAAUGUCGUUUGAGCAUUAUAAAUAUACGAAUCUUAUCCUGAUGUUAAUUGUGGCCAAUAAUUUUCUGUGGUGAAACACGCUCAUCGUUUUCAGUACCCCUGCGAAAAGUGAAAUAUUUUAAUAAUGGCCGCACUGUGAACCAUCUCUAUAAUCUAUAUAUUUGGUAUAACAAUAUACCUCCGCAGUAAGCGAACGGAAUGAUAUGAUGAUGAUGACAUAUUAUACAUUUUCAAAAUGUCAAACACGAAAUUGACAAGCUUUUUUAGCGAUUAGAGCUCUCCUGGAAAAAAAAAACAUUUUUUAGGGAGUAUUUAAACACAUUCGAUUGGAUUGAGGAAAAUUAAGCACGGCCAUUAAAUGUACUUAAAUUUAGUUGACCUGUAAGAUUUAUUUGUACAUAUAUGCAUAUUUGUCCAGGUGUGAAUUGAAAUAAAGCCCAAUGGUUUGAUGAUAAAAAA